This 274-nucleotide ribosomal RNA is filed under the name uncultured bacterium. Its description in RNAcentral is "partial 16S ribosomal RNA". It matches the Rfam family "Archaeal small subunit ribosomal RNA", at positions 473 to 747 of the family's 1478-position model. The record is from RNAcentral.
AAACCAGCACCUCAAGUGGUCAGGAUGAUUAUUGGGCCUAAAGCAUCCGUAGCCUGGUGCAUAAGUUUUCGGUUAAAUCCAUAUGCUCAACAUAUGGGCCGCCGGGAAUACUGUGCACCUAGGGAGUGGGAGAGGAAGACGGUACUCGGGAAGAAGGGGUAAAAUCCUUUGAUCUCUCGAUGACCACCUGUGGCGAAGGCGGUCUACCAGAACACGUUCGACGGUGAGGGAUGAAAGCUGGGGGAGCAAACCGGAUUAGAAACCCGAGUAGUCC